This is a long non-coding RNA of Panicum virgatum (switchgrass), 419 nucleotides long. RefSeq lists it as uncharacterized. The record is from RefSeq and is a predicted model, not a curated record. The transcript is spliced from 2 exons. Lineage: Eukaryota; Viridiplantae; Streptophyta; Magnoliopsida; Poales; Poaceae.
GGUGGCACAGCUAUGCAAGGGUGGUCGCGGCUAGCCAAGGUAUGGUGGGUGUGCCAAGGCAUGGUUAGGUGUCCGCGUGAACACGGCAAUUGGCGAUGCACACCACCUGUUGGGCGAAAUGUGUGGCCGACGGAAGAAGAUGGCCGUGGCCGAGGCAUGGACUCAUCAAGGUGAACGGCGACACCCACAGCCAAAAGUACGUCGACGAGGCCACCAAGAAGGAGGUCAAGGACAUCUUUCGGCCGCUAUGACCGCACCCUCCUCGUCGUCGACCCCAGGCGCUGCGAGCCCAAGAAGUUUGGUGGGCGCGGAGGUACCAGAAAUCGUGUCGUAAUUGCUAGAUCAUGUAUCAAUUGGUGUUGCGUGUUCUGGUUCUAUACCUAGCUACAUCUUUACAUAUAUGCUAUGGGAGUUUAGAA